GAUCCUGGCUCAGACUCAAGUCGUAACAAGGUAACCGUAGAGUUUGAUCCUGGCUCAAACUCUGAUCAUAACGUGGGUACCCUGCACUUUGAAAGGGGAUAACACUUGGAAACAGGUGCUAAUACCGUAUAACACUAUUUUCCGCAUGGAAGAAAGUUGAAAGGCGCUUUUGCGUCACUGAUGGAUGGACCCGCGGUGCAUUAGCUAGUUGGUGAGGUAACGGCUCACCAAGGCCACGAUGCAUAGCCGACCUGAGAGGGUGAUCGGCCACACUGGGACUGAGACACGGCCCAGACUCCUACGGGAGGCAGCAGUAGGGAAUCUUCGGCAAUGGACGAAAGUCUGACCGAGCAACGCCGCGUGAGUGAAGAAGGUUUUCGGAUCGUAAAACUCUGUUGUUAGAGAAGAACAAGGAUGAGAGUAGAACGUUCAUCCCUUGACGGUAUCUAACCAGAAAGCCACGGCUAACUACGUGCCAGCAGCCGCGGUAAUACGUAGGUGGCAAGCGUUGUCCGGAUUUAUUGGGCGUAAAGCGAGCGCAGGCGGUUUCUUAAGUCUGAUGUGAAAGCCCCCGGCUCAACCGGGGAGGGUCAUUGGAAACUGGGAGACUUGAGUGCAGAAGAGGAGAGUGGAAUUCCAUGUGUAGCGGUGAAAUGCGUAGAUAUAUGGAGGAACACCAGUGGCGAAGGCGGCUCUCUGGUCUGUAACUGACGCUGAG
Molecule: ribosomal RNA, 718 nt
Filed under: Enterococcus gallinarum
Lineage: Bacteria; Bacillati; Bacillota; Bacilli; Lactobacillales; Enterococcaceae
Description: bacterial SSU rRNA
Rfam family: Bacterial small subunit ribosomal RNA
Source: RNAcentral